GAAAUGCGAUAAGUAAUGUGAAUUGCAGAAUUCAGUGAAUCAUCGAAUCUUUGAACGCACCUUGCGCUCCUUGGUAUUCCUUGGAGAAUGCCUGUUUGAGUAUCAUGAAAUCUUCAAAGUAAAUCUUUUGUUAACUCAAUUGGUUUCUACUUUGGUAUUGGAGGUCUUUGCAGCUUCACACCUGCUCCUCUUUGUUCAUUAGCUGGAUCUCAGUGUUAUGCUUGGUUCCACUCGGCGUGAUAAGUUAUCUAUCGCUGAGGACACUGUAAAAGGUGGCCAAGGUAAAUGCAGAUGAACCGCUUCUAAUAGUCCAUUGACUUGGACAAUACUUUUAUGAUCUGAUCUCAAAUCAGUUAGGACUACCCGCUGAACUUAAGC
Molecule: unclassified non-coding RNA, 378 nt
Filed under: plant metagenome
Description: partial contains 5.8S ribosomal RNA, internal transcribed spacer 2, and large subunit ribosomal RNA
Rfam family: 5.8S ribosomal RNA (bases 1-105)
Source: RNAcentral